UGAGGAAUAUUGGACAAUGGGCGCAAGCCUGAUCCAGCCAUGCCGCGUGCAGGAUGACGGUCCUAUGGAUUGUAAACUGCUUUUGCACAGGAAGAAACAACAUUGCGUGUAAUGUCUUGACGGUACUGUGAGAAUAAGGAUCGGCCAACCCCGUGCCAGCAGCCGCGGUAAUACGGAGGAUCCAAGCGUUAUCCGGAAUCAUUGGGUUUAAAGGGUCCGUAGGCGGUUUAGUAAGUCAGUGGUGAAAGCCCAUCGCUCAACGGUGGAACGGCCAUUGAUACUGCUAGACUUGAAUUAUUAGGAAGUAACUAGAAUAUGUAGUGUAGCGGUGAAAAUGCUUAGAGAUUUACAUGGAAUACCAAUUGCGAAGGCAGGUUACUACUAAUGGAUUGACGCUGAUGGACGAAAGCGUGGGUAGCGAACAGGAUUAGAUACCCUGGUAGUCCACGCCGUAAAACGAUGGAUACUAGCUGUUGGGAGCAAUCUCAGUGGCUAAGCGAAAGUGAUAAGUAUCCCACCUGGGGAGUACGUUCGCAAGAAUGAAACUCAAAGGAAUUGACGGGGUCAUAGCUGUUUCC
Molecule: ribosomal RNA, 578 nt
Filed under: uncultured bacterium
Lineage: Bacteria
Description: partial 16S ribosomal RNA
Rfam family: Bacterial small subunit ribosomal RNA
Source: RNAcentral